UAAAACUGUCUUUUGGUACACAUUCUGGAUUAAAAUUCAUUUGGUAUCAAGACAAACAUCUUUUAACGUUUUCUUUCUCCUUCUGUCACUACGGGACACAUAUGCUAGAUAUGUUUUCAAAAUGAGAAAGAAAUGUCUACUCUGGAAUGUUUUUGAGCAAGGCAGUACACCAGUGGACUCUACUUAGCCAUUUAUUGCUCUUUUGUCAGUUUUGGUCCAAGCGGUCGUUUGAUUUAAAUUUACUUACAAUGUCAAUAUCAAAUGCUAAGCUAAUCAAAUUUGUCUAAAAAGAAAAAGCGAUCUGCUCGAGUCUAAAGACAACAUAGAAUAUCGGCCGUUUGUAUAUGGUUCUGAAAAGUCGCUUCACAUAUCAAAGACACAAUCAUGCAGAAACAUGGUUGUCUUUUUUCUUUGGUAUAAAGAGUCAUGCCACUAGCACUGCAACUGCUUUUCCAUUUACAUGACAAAUAAAGCAAGUAAGAGAACAAACUCUCUUAUCUCUAAUUUAGUGUUUGUUUGUGUAAAAUCUAGAACCAUUUGAGCUGGCAUAAUGCUAUGAAGGGUUCAAAAUGAUGGUAUGAUAAGGAUGCAGAAUUGUGCUCAUGGGUGGCUUCAUCUGACUCUGAGGGGACAAGGAUCAGCCCGGAAUCUAUACAUCUUGGUUCCACAAAUGGAGCAAGACGUGGCAGCAUGAUUCUUCAGUCCUGAUUAAGCUAAGACAAAUAUAUGAAUUUAAGAAAGUUGUACUUUACUUGCAUCGCAAUUAAAGGCCAACGUGAACAUGUCAGACCGGUUCAAAGAUAAAGCCAAGAGAAUCCAAUCGUCAUCAAGGGUGUACUCUAUCAAGAUGCCAAGGCUAGCAUUAUGCAAAUCUCGGUUGCUGAUAUAUUUACUGUAAAAAUAGUUCUAAAGUUCAUCUUGGUAUUUCAUCAAGCUUGCACGUUCAAUUCUAAUUAUGCAACCUUUCAGCUGUUUUUCUCUUUCUAGAAACAUUCUUGAAUGCACCUAAAAUUCUUCUACCUAUGCUAAUCACGUCUUGACAUGUGACAACUGAAUACAAUAUAGCUGCUAAACUAAUGAUAAUGGAAUGUACUAGGAAAUUUG
Molecule: small RNA, 1104 nt
Filed under: Vigna angularis var. angularis
Lineage: Eukaryota; Viridiplantae; Streptophyta; Magnoliopsida; Fabales; Fabaceae
Description: Non-protein coding transcript
Source: RNAcentral